AAAAUCUAUCCCCUGACUAUUAAACUUCUAAAUUUUUUCCCCAUUAAGUUUAUUGAUACACUUUAGGUAUAAAAUACAUUUUCAUACAUCAUUGGCAUCUUGUACCAUUACAUGAGUAUCUUGGUUUUUAUUUUUUUCCCCUUCCUCUGCCCUCACUUCACACCCUCCACCCUUCCCUACUUGCAAAGAUUUUGUUUUCAUUUUUUUCCUUUGCUCAUAUUUUUUCUUUUCCCUUCUUCCCUUUCCCCUACCCCUCCCACUUCCCCUACUCCUUUAGACCGUCACUUCAUAUUGCACAAUAUCAAUUAUAAAUUUUUAAAAUUAACAUAUCAAGACCUAGGAGACAUUACCACAGAUUUUACAGAAUUUAAAAGGAUAUAGAAAGCAUAUUACAAAAAUCUGUUUUGAAAUAAAUUUGACAACUUCUAAGAAGUACAUUGGAAGACAAAUCAAUGAAACUAACUCUGGAGGAAAUAUAAAAUUUGAGUAGCACCUAUUAAAGAAAGUAUGUUCCUAGCUUAAAAACCUACCUAUGUGACAACAACAGUCUUGUAUACAUUUUAACUGAUAAAUUAUAUCAAACAAUUAAAGCAGAAAAAAGAAAGAACACUUCUCCCCUCAUUUUAGGAACUCAACAUUGUGCUAAUCCUAAAACUGGAUAAAGAUAAUAGAAGAAAAAGUAUGAACAUAGAUAGAAAUUUGUUUAACAAAGCAAACUAUUGGAAGGCAGAUCUGGCAGUGUGUAGAAAGUGGUUUUGUUAUGGGGUGGCAGUGUUGGUUCAGCACUGGAAGAUCCACCCCCAAAAGUCAUCAUUUUAACAGAGAAAAGGAAAAAGCCAUAUGAUCCUGUCAGUAGUUGGAGAAAAAGUAUUGGACUAAAUUCCACAGCUGUUUAUGGUAAAAGCUAUGAGGAGACCAGAAGUAGAACAGAACCUUCUCAACAGAUUAAAGACAUGUACUCCAUACUUCCAGCGAGAAUGCCUUAUAUAAAUGGAGAAGAUACAAUGCUUUCUCCUUAAGGUGGGGCACAAGAGAAGAUAUGCUUACUCUUCAUCUGAAUAUUAAACUUUGAAACAUAGCCAAAACCAAAAUAGUCUGGCAAUAAAAU
Molecule: long non-coding RNA, 1108 nt
Filed under: Heterocephalus glaber (naked mole-rat)
Lineage: Eukaryota; Metazoa; Chordata; Mammalia; Rodentia; Bathyergidae
Description: lncRNA (ENSHGLG00100047329.1)
Source: RNAcentral